GAAAAAAUCAUCUAGACCACAGUGGUUUAGUGCAAUUCGUUUUGUUCUUGUAUGUGUUGGACCAAGUGGGUGGAAGAAAGCUUUCAAAUGCGAGAACCUGAUAAUGCAAUUUCAAGCUCAACUAGUUAUCCAGAAGAUUAGGAGGCAAGUUGUGAUUAAGCAAUCACGGUCAGAUAUUGCUCAGCUGCUCCAAAAUGACAACAUUGACAGUGCUUUUGCUAGGUUAAGUUAUGUAUUUAAUCAUAAUAUAGAGAGGGUUGAUUUCUAUAAAAUUUUAGAAGAAUGAAGUACGAGUAAAAAAUUGAAAUAAGUUUCUCUAUAAGGUAAAAUCAUCUUAUAUAUAAUUUAAAAAACAUAUUUUGAAGAAGCUAAUACGAGAAAGAUUCUAUAGAUUAAUUUAUAUAUAAGCUAGUUUUUAAAGAAAUUAAUUUAUUUCAAUUUUUCUUGUUUUCUUUUUCCAAAAGUAUUAAUAGAGAAAUUUGUCUGAACAGACCGUUAAUUAAUCAAGCCAUAUGUUAAUUGACUGCUGCUAUCAUCAUACAUAGCUAUUGUCUUACAAUUGGUUUUCCCCUAACAAGUUAUAUAGGUUUGGAUUAUUUAUAUUUCCCUUUAAAAUUUAGGUUGAGCAGCUGCAUAUAGACACAUGUGUUUUGGCUGCAUAUGAUCUAAUUGAUAAUUUCUGUGAAUGCAUCAUCUCCAACAUAUCCUGCAUUAGCAAAUUCAGUUGUAUACACAACUUGCCUACAAAAGUUGCUGUGGCCGUUGCAAGUCUGACAUAUGCUUCUUCAAGAUGUGGUGAAUUGUCA
Non-coding RNA from Cajanus cajan (pigeon pea), 806 nucleotides. Lineage: Eukaryota; Viridiplantae; Streptophyta; Magnoliopsida; Fabales; Fabaceae. The record is from RefSeq and is a predicted model, not a curated record.